RNAcentral lists this ribosomal RNA (271 nucleotides) under uncultured Veillonellaceae bacterium. Its description in RNAcentral is "partial 16S ribosomal RNA". It matches the Rfam family "Bacterial small subunit ribosomal RNA", at positions 83 to 339 of the family's 1533-position model. Lineage: Bacteria; Bacillati; Bacillota; Negativicutes; Veillonellales; Veillonellaceae. The record is from RNAcentral.
GGUGAAUUCUUACUGGCGAACGGGUGAGUGCGCGUAGGCAACCUGCCCUUUGGAUGGGGACAACAUUCCGAAAGGAGUGCUAAUACCGAAUGUGAUCCAUUUCUCGCAUGAGAGAUGGAUGAAAGAUGGCCUCUAUUUAUAAGCUAUGGGCAGGUGAUGGGCCUGUGUCUGAUUAGUUAGUUGGUGGGGUAACGGGUCACCAAUACGAUGAUCAGUAUGCGGGCGGAGAGGAUGAAGGGCGAGUUUGGGACUGAGACACGGCCCAAACUAC